UACCCCAAUUACCAAAAAGGUGCUGAAGUUAACCGACACAGCAAUCAAGCAAGACAGCACGAUGAAUGCCUGUUAAUAUACAACGAACAUGAAAUCUCAAGUCAAACAAGGUAGAAAGAAAAUGUAUCCUGUCGACUGUUCCAGUGCAGGGAAUAUUCAUUCGAGCAAGCAUACCAGAACCAGAGGUUUGUAGUCGUAGGCGAACACGUUUUGUCCGGUGAGCAUCCGGUCCACAAAUGGGCCAGUCGCAACUAGAAUAGAUGCUUGGUAUGGAGAUGAUUGAUACAAAAGUUGCGUGGAGGAAACUUUCAACCUCUUCUGAAUCGUGAAAAUCUGAAACAGAAAGGAUACAAUUUGGCUAAUGCAUGUAGUGGCAAUCGCAAGAACGGAGACGAUGGAGCCAAGAAGAUUGAGGUUGAGAUCGGUGACCGAUGCAAUGCCGACUCCAAGCAGGAGGAGAAGCAAAGCCAGCUUGAUACUAUGGCUGCAAACAAAUUCUUAUUUCGGUAAAUUUCAAACACCAACAUAUCAACUCAGAUAAAAAGUCUUUCCAGUGAACCUGAAAGUUUUCUUCAAGAACAGAGUCUCCAGCAGGACAGUAAAAGAAUCCAAUGGAGUUGAAGCCGAGGCUGAGGUUCAGGAAGCCAACGGAGGUGCCGUUAAGGAGGCCAAAGAGAACCACCGUCUUCGUGUCGAUUGAUUUGGACUCAAAGAAGCGGAGGCGCUGCGCGACAUGGAGCGUGCAGAAGGUCACCAAUAGAUGCCAGCUUGUUAGCGUUGUAGCUGAGCUGAAGCUACUGACCGAAAGGGAAGCCAAGAGUGCUCAUGAGAGCUUUGUUACAUAUGACAAUCGAAACCGAGGAGGCAACCGAAAGAGCCAGCGACCCGAC
Molecule: long non-coding RNA, 890 nt
Organism: Zingiber officinale
Lineage: Eukaryota; Viridiplantae; Streptophyta; Magnoliopsida; Zingiberales; Zingiberaceae
Exons: 4
Source: RefSeq, a predicted model, not a curated record